Molecule: long non-coding RNA, 1130 nt
Filed under: Vulpes vulpes (red fox)
Lineage: Eukaryota; Metazoa; Chordata; Mammalia; Carnivora; Canidae
Description: lncRNA (ENSVVUG00000026456.1)
Source: RNAcentral
GUCCUGGUGGAUUUAUGAAUUUUGUCACUUUUGGGGACUCCAGUGUAAGUAUUUGUAACUGUCGCUUGAAUAGUUAUGCUCCAUUAAGUAUUCUUCAUUCAAUUUGACCCAUUUUCAAAAUGCAUUUGGUAAUUUGUAGUUUUAUUUCAUCUUAGUGAAGAGGGCUUCCCUUGGGAAUCGGGAAGCUGGUGAUUCAGGGAGGUUUGUAGCUCUGAGGGUGGUAGAGCACUCACAAAGCCUUGGGAUAGGAAAGCUGCAAAGGCCAUGGAGACCAUCUGGUCCAAGGUUGUUAUUGUGUAGAUUGGAAAGGUAAGUCCAGAGAGGGGUAUGAGUCUCCCAGACGUGCGCGCACGCGCACAUACACACACACAGGCACACGCUGCACACUACACACCCCAUACAUUUUGCAUCCCCCUCCCCUUGGCCUCCCGCACAUUUUGAGAAACAUGUCAGAUUCUAUUAAGAGUAACCAAGCGCAGUGUUCAAACACAUUUCAGCCUAUUUAUCCAGGGACACCACAGCUUUGGAGGCAGCAAACAUGCCCAUUUGUUACUAUUUGCAAAGAUGGUGUACACCAAACAUGGGCUUUCUGUAAACAAAUUAAAAAGUAAUAAAGUGGCCCCAUCUGCAUACUAGAGCACCACGCUUCCAUUUUAAUGAAGCUUGCUAUUGCAAAGCCAUUUUGAUGGCUUGUCAAACGUGCUGAAGUCCAUGGCUGCACAUGGAAAUGUGCUGUCUUUCCUUCCUGUGGUCCUUUCUUCAGCGUGUACGGGGCAGCUGUAGGAGCUGGGCCCGACCCCUGGACUGUCUGCUAUGCUAUGGAGACCUGACGUGUGCAUAUGAUGCCAUUAAAUAUCCGAGUCGGAUGUCUCAGAAUGGUCCACACGAAUCAUCUGAACGGACUGGAGCGGGAAGUGAAGAAAGUAAAGCGCGGGGGNAAGGCAUGAGCCAGGCCAGGUAGCUUAAGCUCAGAGUUCCAGUCCCUUCCGUAAAGACCCCCGCUCUUCUGCCCUCUGGGGAUCCCCUCUGCAUUGCCCCUCCCCCCUCCACUGUGAGGCCCUUCUCCAACUAGGGGACCUGUUGCAUAUCAAAUGCCUCCCCUGCGCCCCAGGGAGGCCUGAGGCACAUCU